This 389-nucleotide RNase P RNA is filed under the name Corynebacterium canis. Its description in RNAcentral is "Corynebacterium sp. 1170 Bacterial RNase P class A". It matches the Rfam family "Bacterial RNase P class A". From Rfam's summary of the family: Ribonuclease P (RNase P) is a ubiquitous endoribonuclease, found in archaea, bacteria and eukarya as well as chloroplasts and mitochondria. Its best characterised activity is the generation of mature 5'-ends of tRNAs by cleaving the 5'-leader elements of precursor-tRNAs. Lineage: Bacteria; Bacillati; Actinomycetota; Actinomycetes; Mycobacteriales; Corynebacteriaceae. The record is from Rfam by way of RNAcentral.
UGAGCCAUCCGGGUGGACGCGGCACGAAUGUAUCGGCAUUGCAAUGCGCUGACAUGUCUGUCGAGGAAAGUCCGGACUCCACAGAGCACAGUGGUUGCUAACGGCAACCCAGGGCGACCUGCGGGAUUAGUGCCACAGAAAACAAACCGCCCAGCGAUGGGUAAGGGUGAAACGGUGCGGUAAGAGCGCACCAGCGCCCUAGGUGACUAGGGCGGCUAGGUAAACCCCACUGGGAGCAAGGCAAGAGGACGUACAUUGGUAUGUCUGUUCGGGCGUUAUAGGUUGCUCGCCGAGCCCGAAGGUACGCUGCUUGAGGCCCGCCAGCGAUGGCGGGUCCAGAUGGAUGUUCACCCCAAUGACAGAAUCCGGCUUAUAGGGUGGCUCAUUCG